AAAGGAAUAGACGGGGGCCCGCACAAGCGGUGGAGCAUGUGGUUUAAUUCGAGGCAACGCGAAGAACCUUACCAAGGCUUGACAUGGAGUCGACCGGUACAGAGAUGUACCUUCUUUUCGGAGCGGCUCACACAGGUGGUGCAUGGUUGUCGUCAGCUCGUGUCGUGAGAUGUUGGGUUAAGUCCCGCAACGAGCGCAACCCUUGCGUCCAGUUGCCAGCGGCUAGGCCGGGCACACUGGAGGGACUGCCGUGGACAACACGGAGGAAGGUGGGGAUGAGGUCAAAUCAUCAUGCCCCUUAUGUCUUGGGCCACACACGUGCUACAAUGGGGCUGACAACGUGGUGCGAAGCGGCGACGCGGAGCGAAACACGAAAAGGCCCCUCAGUUCGGAUUGCAGGCUGCAACCCGCCUGCAUGAAGUUGGAAUCGCUAGUAAUCGCGGAUCAGCACGCCGCGGUGAAUACGUUCCCGGGCCUUGUACACACCGCCCGU
RNAcentral lists this ribosomal RNA (493 nucleotides) under uncultured bacterium. RNAcentral describes it as "bacterial SSU rRNA". It matches the Rfam family "Bacterial small subunit ribosomal RNA", at positions 903 to 1397 of the family's 1533-position model. The record is from RNAcentral.